GUACUCGCUUCGGCAGGACAUACACUAAAAACACUGGAAUGAUAUGGAUAAGAUUAGCCUCCUGUGCAAGGAUGGCACUCAAAAAUUUGUGAAGCAUUCCAUAUUUUU
Molecule: small nuclear RNA, 108 nt
Organism: Myodes glareolus (Bank vole)
Lineage: Eukaryota; Metazoa; Chordata; Mammalia; Rodentia; Cricetidae
Source: RefSeq, a predicted model, not a curated record